ACCCGCUGAACUUAAGCAUAUCAAUAAGCGGAGGAAAAGAAACCAACAGGGAUUGCCCUAGUAACGGCGAGUGAAGCGGCAACAGCUCAAAUUUGAAAUCUGGCUCUUUCAGAGUCCGAGUUGUAAUUUGCAGAGGGCGCUUUGGCGUUGGCAGCGGUCCAAGUUCCUUGGAACAGGACGUCACAGAGGGUGAGAAUCCCGUACGUGGUCGCUAGCCUUUACCGUGUAAAGCCCCUUCGACGAGUCGAGUUGUUUGGGAAUGCAGCUCUAAAUGGGAGGUAAAUUUCUUCUAAAGCUAAAUACUGGCCAGAGACCGAUAGCGCACAAGUAGAGUGAUCGAAAGAUGAAAAGCACUUUGGAAAGAGAGUUAAAAAGCACGUGAAAUUGUUGAAAGGGAAGCGCUUGCAGCCAGACUUGCCUGUAGUUGCUCAUCCGGGUUUUUACCCGGUGCACUCUUCUAUAGGCAGGCCAGCAUCAGUUUGGGCGGUUGGAUAAAGGUCUCUGUCAUGUACCUCUCUUCGGGGAGAACUUAUAGGGGAGACGACAUGCAACCAGCCCGGACUGAGGUCCGCGCAUCUGCUAGGAUGCUGGCGUAAUGGCC
Molecule: ribosomal RNA, 601 nt
Filed under: uncultured fungus
Lineage: Eukaryota; Fungi
Description: eukaryotic LSU rRNA
Rfam family: Eukaryotic large subunit ribosomal RNA
Source: RNAcentral